Molecule: long non-coding RNA, 545 nt
Organism: Scylla paramamosain (green mud crab)
Lineage: Eukaryota; Metazoa; Arthropoda; Malacostraca; Decapoda; Portunidae
Exons: 3
Source: RefSeq, a predicted model, not a curated record
GAAUACAGGGAGGGUGAGAGGAACGAAGGGGAAGCAGUUAGAGGAGAUCCACUCACGGGAUUCUGCGUUGUUGAUUUGUGUGUGGAAGUAUCGUGGGUUUUGCCUGCCUCCAUUGUUGCUCGUCUGCUGAAAUAAGUUGGAAUCUUUGCCACGGUGCCUGUCUCUCUGUGCUCAGGUUUAUUGGAGCUCUCAGUGGUACUGUGUUGAGCUGCUCCAGUACGUUCAGCUGCUGCAGAAGUACUGGGGAAACGUCCUUUCUCACCAAGAAGCAGACACAUUCUGUAGAACACUGCCAUCAGAGUGUCCUCUGUCUGGAUGCCUGCGUCUUUAUCCUCCUGCACCAACCCGGGGAUUCCUUUCACAGAAUGAAUAUCAUGUCCGAAUACUCACUGUUACUGAAUGUGAAAGGCACCUUCACCGUAGCGAAGAGUUGCACUUUGGCAGCCACCUGAUGGGGCGCCCUGUCACUUACAUGUCAAAGCGUAAACAGUUGGCGGGAUGGAAGUUGCUGUGUGUUGCCAUGUAUGAUUAAAAGAAAUAGCACU